GGUUAAGCGACUAAGCGUACACGGUGGAUGCCCUGGCAGUCAGAGGCGAUGAAGGACGUGCUAAUCUGCGAAAAGCGUCGGUAAGGUGAUAUGAACCGUUAUAACCGGCGAUGUCCGAAUGGGGAAACCCAGUGUGAUUCGUCACACUAUCGUUAACUGAAUACAUAGGUUAACGAGGCGAACCGGGGGAACUGAAACAUCUAAGUACCCCGAGGAAAAGAAAUCAACCGAGAUUCCCCCAGUAGCGGCGAGCGAACGGGGAGCAGCCCAGAGUCUGAAUCAGCUUGUGUGUUAGUGGAACGGUCUGGAAAGUCCGACGGUACAGGGUGAUAGUCCCGUACACCAAAAUGCACAGGCUGUGAACUCGAAGAGUAGGGCGGGACACGUGGUAUCCUGUCUGAAUAUGGGGGGACCAUCCUCCAAGGCUAAAUACUCCUGACUGACCGAUAGUGAACCAGUACCGUGAGGGAAAGGCGAAAAGAACCCCGGCGAGGGGAGUGAAAAAGAACCUGAAACCGUGUACGUACAAGCAGUGGGAGCACCUUUAUGGUGUGACUGCGUACCUUUUGUAUAAUGGGUCAGCGACUUAUAUUCUGUAGCAAGGUUAACCGUAUAGGGGAGCCGCAGGGAAACCGAGUCUUAACUGGGCGUUAAGUUGCAGGGUAUAGACCCGAAACCCGGUGAUCUAGCCAUGGGCAGGUUGAAGGUUGGGUAACACUAACUGGAGGACCGAACCGACUAAUGUUGAAAAAUUAGCGGAUGACUUGUGGCUGGGGGUGAAAGGCCAAUCAAACCGGGAGAUAGCUGGUUCUCCCCGAAAGCUAUUUAGGUAGCGCCUCGUGAACUCAUCUUCGGGGGUAGAGCACUGUUUCGGCUAGGGGGUCAUCCCGACUUACCAACCCGAUGCAAACUACGAAUACCGAAGAAUGUUAUCACGGGAGACACACGGCGGGUGCUAACGUCCGUCGUGAAGAGGGAAACAACCCAGACCGCCAGCUAAGGUCCCAAAGUCAUGGUUAAGUGGGAAACGAUGUGGGAAGGCACAGACAGCCAGGAUGUUGGCUUAGAAGCAGCCAUCAUUUAAAGAAAGCGUAAUAGCUCACUGGUCGAGUCGGCCUGCGCGGAAGAUGUAACGGGGCUAAACCAUGCACCGAAGCUGCGGCAGCGACACUAUGUGUUGUUGGGUAGGGGAGCGUUCUGUAAGCCUGCGAAGGUGGCCUGUGAGGGUUGCUGGAGGUAUCAGAAGUGCGAAUGCUGACAUAAGUAACGAUAAAGCGGGUGAAAAGCCCGCUCGCCGGAAGACCAAGGGUUCCUGUCCAACGUUAAUCGGGGCAGGGUGAGUCGACCCCUAAGGCGAGGCCGAAAGGCGUAGUCGAUGGGAAACAGGUUAAUAUUCCUGUACUUGGUGUUACUGCGAAGGGGGGACGGAGAAGGCUAUGUUAGCCGGGCGACGGUUGUCCCGGUUUAAGCAUGUAGGCUGGUUAUCCAGGCAAAUCCGGAUAAUCAAGGCUGAGGUGUGAUGACGAGGCACUACGGUGCUGAAGUAACAAAUGCCCUGCUUCCAGGAAAAGCCUCUAAGCAUCAGGUAACAUCAAAUCGUACCCCAAACCGACACAGGUGGUCAGGUAGAGAAUACCAAGGCGCUUGAGAGAACUCGGGUGAAGGAACUAGGCAAAAUGGUGCCGUAACUUCGGGAGAAGGCACGCUGGUGUGUAGGUGAAGUCCCUGCGGAUGGAGCUGAGACCAGUCGAAGAUACCAGCUGGCUGCAACUGUUUAUUAAAAACACAGCACUGUGCAAACACGAAAGUGGACGUAUACGGUGUGACGCCUGCCCGGUGCCGGAAGGUUAAUUGAUGGGGUUAUCCGUAAGGAGAAGCUCUUGAUCGAAGCCCCGGUAAACGGCGGCCGUAACUAUAACGGUCCUAAGGUAGCGAAAUUCCUUGUCGGGUAAGUUCCGACCUGCACGAAUGGCGUAAUGAUGGCCAGGCUGUCUCCACCCGAGACUCAGUGAAAUUGAACUCGCUGUGAAGAUGCAGUGUACCCGCGGCAAGACGGAAAGACCCCGUGAACCUUUACUAUAGCUUGACACUGAACAUUGAGCCUUGAUGUGUAGGAUAGGUGGGAGGCUUUGAAGCGUGGACGCCAGUCUGCGUGGAGCCAACCUUGAAAUACCACCCUUUAAUGUUUGAUGUUCUAACGUUGGCCCCUUAUCGGGGUUGCGGACAGUGUCUGGUGGGUAGUUUGACUGGGGCGGUCUCCUCCCAAAGCGUAACGGAGGAGCACGAAGGUUAGCUAAUCCUGGUCGGACAUCAGGAGGUUAGUGCAAUGGCAUAAGCUAGCUUGACUGCGAGCGUGACGGCGCGAGCAGGUGCGAAAGCAGGUCAUAGUGAUCCGGUGGUUCUGAAUGGAAGGGCCAUCGCUCAACGGAUAAAAGGUACUCCGGGGAUAACAGGCUGAUACCGCCCAAGAGUUCAUAUCGACGGCGGUGUUUGGCACCUCGAUGUCGGCUCAUCACAUCCUGGGGCUGAAGUAGGUCCCAAGGGUAUGGCUGUUCGCCAUUUAAAGUGGUACGCGAGCUGGGUUUAGAACGUCGUGAGACAGUUCGGUCCCUAUCUGCCGUGGGCGCUGGAGAAUUGAGGGGGGCUGCUCCUAGUACGAGAGGACCGGAGUGGACGCAUCACUGGUGUUCGGGUUGUCAUGCCAAUGGCACUGCCCGGUAGCUAAAUGCGGAAGAGAUAAGUGCUGAAAGCAUCUAAGCACGAAACUUGCCCCGAGAUGAGUUCUCCCUGAGACUUUAAGUCUCCUGAAGGAACGUUGAAGACGACGACGUUGAUAGGCCGGGUGUGUAAGCGCAGCGAUGCGUUGAGCUAACCGGUACUAAUGAACCGUGAGGCUUAACCUU
Molecule: ribosomal RNA, 2903 nt
Filed under: Klebsiella quasipneumoniae
Lineage: Bacteria; Pseudomonadati; Pseudomonadota; Gammaproteobacteria; Enterobacterales; Enterobacteriaceae
Description: 23S ribosomal RNA
Rfam family: Bacterial large subunit ribosomal RNA
Source: RNAcentral